RNAcentral lists this small RNA (563 nucleotides) under Pan troglodytes (chimpanzee). RNAcentral describes it as "processed transcript". The record is from RNAcentral. Lineage: Eukaryota; Metazoa; Chordata; Mammalia; Primates; Hominidae.
GUUUAGCCCCACCAGCUUCCCAGAGCAGCAAGGCCAAGCAUGCCAGAGUCGCCAUCCACCCUGGCCGUGAUGCAGGGCCUCCUUUGCUGGACCCGCAGGCCCUGCAGGACAGAGACUGGCAGCGCACCGUCAUCGCCAUGAAUGGGAUCGAAGUAAAGCUCUCGGUCAAGUUCAACAGCAGGGAGUUCAGCUUGAAGAGGAUGCCAUCCCGAAAACAGACAGGGGUCUUCGGAGUCAAGAUUGCUGUGGUCACCAAGAGAGAGAGGUCCAAGGUGCCCUACAUCGUGCGCCAGUGCGUGGAGGAGAUCGAGCGCCGAGGCAUGGAGGAGGUGGGCAUCUACCGCGUGUCCGGUGUGGCCACGGACAUCCAGGCACUGAAGGCAGCCUUCGACGUCAAUAACAAGGACGUGUCGGUGAUGAUGAGCGAGAUGGACGUGAACGCCAUCGCAGGCACGCUGAAGCUGUACUUCCGUGAGCUGCCCGAGCCCCUCUUCACUGACGAGUUCUACCCCAACUUCGCAGAGGGCAUCGCUCUUUCAGACCCGGUUGCAAAGGAGAGCUGC